Molecule: ribosomal RNA, 158 nt
Filed under: Gossia lewisensis
Lineage: Eukaryota; Viridiplantae; Streptophyta; Magnoliopsida; Myrtales; Myrtaceae
Also listed under: 1 other name
Description: 5.8S ribosomal RNA
Rfam family: 5.8S ribosomal RNA
About the family: 5.8S ribosomal RNA (5.8S rRNA) is a component of the large subunit of the eukaryotic ribosome. It is transcribed by RNA polymerase I as part of the 45S precursor that also contains 18S and 28S rRNA.
Source: RNAcentral
UAACGACUCUCGGCAACGGAUAUCUCGGCUCUCGCAUCGAUGAAGAACGUAGCGAACUGCGAUACUUGGUGUGAAUUGCAGAAUCCCGUGAACCAUCGAGUCUUUGAACGCAAGUUGCGCCCGAAGCUUCGGUCGAGGGCACGUUUGCCUGGGUGUCA